RNAcentral lists this ribosomal RNA (843 nucleotides) under Triticum aestivum (bread wheat). RNAcentral's name for it is "partial small subunit ribosomal RNA". The record is from RNAcentral. Lineage: Eukaryota; Viridiplantae; Streptophyta; Magnoliopsida; Poales; Poaceae.
AUGGAGCAGGACCUAAGCAAGCUUGAUGUCACAAAGCUCCACCCGUUGUCACCUCAAGUUAUCUCACGCCAAGCCACCAUCAACAUUGGUACAGUUGGUCAUGUGGCCCACGGGAAGUCUACCGUUGUGAAAGCUAUAACCGGAGUUCAGACUGUUCGCUUCAAGAAUGAGCUUGAACGUAACAUCACUAUCAAGCUGGGCUACGCUAAUGCAAAAAUCUAUAAAUGCGAGGAUGACAGAUGUCCACGACCAAUGUGCUACAAGGCUUAUGGAAGCGGAAAAGAAGAUACUCCUGUCUGUGAUGUUCCUGGGUUUGAAAACACCAGGAUGAAGCUUCUGAGACAUGUUUCCUUUGUUGACUNNNNGGGCCACGACAUUCUCAUGGCCACAAUGCUUAAUGGAGCAGCUAUCAUGGAUGGAGCCUUGCUUUUGAUAGCAGCAAAUGAGAGCUGCCCACAACCCCAGACAUCCGAGCAUCUUGCGGCUCUUGCGGGUCUCAAACACCUCAUAAUUCUGCAGAAUAAGAUUGAUGUUAUCCAGGAGAGUGCAGCAGUGAACCAGCAUGAAGAAAUCCAAAAAUUCAUCCAGGGCACGAAAGCUGAAGGUGCUCCUGUGGUGCCAAUAUCUGCCCAGCUCAAGUACAACAUUGAUGUCAUCUGUGAAUAUAUUGUGAAGAAAAUCCCCAUUCCGGAGAGGAACUUCACCUCACCUCCCAACAUGAUUGUCGUUCGCUCCUUCGAUGUCAAUAAGCCUGGUUCGGAGGUUGAUGAAAUCAAGGGUGGGGUGGCAGGUGGCACCAUCCUCAGGGUAUGUAGUUGUAGAUGCUCAGUCUCAAGAUUGUAG